Molecule: ribosomal RNA, 339 nt
Filed under: Triticum aestivum (bread wheat)
Lineage: Eukaryota; Viridiplantae; Streptophyta; Magnoliopsida; Poales; Poaceae
Description: partial small subunit ribosomal RNA
Source: RNAcentral
AAGGAAGCUGCUCUUAGGAAGAUGGCGGUUGCAUUCAACAACCACAAGAAAAGUAUAUGGGCUAAGUACGCCGAAGGAGGAAAGAAGACUCCAGAAUUCAUGGGAACACUGGAGAAGCAAAGAGAUCACUGGCCCGCUUUCGUGAAAUUCAAGGAAUCAGAAUUAUCUAAGGAACGGUCGGGAGUAAACAAGCUCAAUGCCGCGAAAAAGGGGCCAGGUGGCUACGCGGUGGCCUGGCCUAAGUGGGAUAAGUAUGAGAAACAGAUGGUGGAUGCAGGGGUCAUUCCAGUUACAUUGAGCUGGCCCCCCAGGUGCAGGACUUGGUUCUAUGCGCAUGGG